This 497-nucleotide ribosomal RNA is filed under the name uncultured bacterium. RNAcentral describes it as "partial 16S ribosomal RNA". It matches the Rfam family "Bacterial small subunit ribosomal RNA", at positions 28 to 507 of the family's 1533-position model. The record is from RNAcentral.
GAUGAACGCUGGCGGCGUGCCUAAUACAUGCAAGUCGAGCGAACAGACGAGGAGCUUGCUCCUCUGACGUUAGCGGCGGACGGGUGAGUAACACGUGGAUAACCUACCUAUAAGACUGAGAUAACUUCGGGAAACCGGAGCUAAUACCGGAUAACAUGUUGAACCGCAUGGUUCAACAGUGAAAGACGGUCUUGCUGUCACUUAUAGAUGGAUCCGCGCCGCAUUAGCUAGUUGGUAAGGUAACGGCUUACCAAGGCAACGAUGCGUAGCCGACCUGAGAGGGUGAUCGGCCACACUGGAACUGAGACACGGUCCAGACUCCUACGGGAGGCAGCAGUAGGGAAUCUUCCGCAAUGGGCGAAAGCCUGACGGAGCAACGCCGCGUGAGUGAAGAAGGUCUUCGGAUCGUAAAACUCUGUUAUUAGGGAAGAACAAAUGUGUAAGUAACUAUGCACGUCUUGACGGUACCUAAUCAGAAAGCCACGGCUAACUACGUG